AGCAGUAGCCGCGGGAAUACGGAAGGUCCAGGCGUUAUCCGGAUUUAUUGGGUUUAAAGGGAGUGCAGGCGGUCUGUUAAGCGUGUUGUGAAAUUUAGGUGCUCAACAUUUAACUUGCAGCGCGAACUGGCGGACUUGGGUGCACGCAACGUAUGCGGAAUUCAUGGUGUAGCGGUGAAAUGCUUAGAUAUCAUGACGAACUCCGAUUGCGAAGGCAGCGUACGGGAGUGUUACUGGCGCUUAAGCUCGAAGGUGCGGGUAUCGAACAGGAUUAGAUACCCGCGUAGUCCCUGUCUCUUAUAA
This 303-nucleotide ribosomal RNA is filed under the name uncultured bacterium. Its description in RNAcentral is "partial 16S ribosomal RNA". It matches the Rfam family "Bacterial small subunit ribosomal RNA", at positions 507 to 809 of the family's 1533-position model. The record is from RNAcentral.